AACGAACGCUGGCGGCAUGCCUAACACAUGCAAGUCGAACGAGACCUUCGGGUCUAGUGGCGCACGGGUGCGUAACGCGUGGGAACCUGCCCUUAGGUUCGGAAUAACUCCCCGAAAGGGGUGCUAAUACCGGAUAAUGUCUUCGGACCAAAGAUUUAUCGCCUUUGGAUGGGCCCGCGUUGGAUUAGCUAGUUGGUAGGGUAAAAGCCUACCAAGGCGACGAUCCAUAGCUGGUCUGAGAGGAUGAUCCGCCACACUGGGACUGAGACACGGCCCAGACUCCUACGGGAGGCAGCAGUAUGUAAUACUGGACAAUGGGCGAAAGCCUGAUCAAGCAAUGCCGGGUGAGUGAGGAAGGGCUUAGGGUUGUAAAGCUCUUUUACCCGGGAUGAUAAUGACAGUACCGGGAGAAUAAGCACCGGCUAACUCCGUG
RNAcentral lists this ribosomal RNA (433 nucleotides) under uncultured bacterium. Its description in RNAcentral is "partial 16S ribosomal RNA". It matches the Rfam family "Bacterial small subunit ribosomal RNA", at positions 29 to 507 of the family's 1533-position model. The record is from RNAcentral.